RNAcentral lists this ribosomal RNA (482 nucleotides) under uncultured bacterium. Its description in RNAcentral is "bacterial SSU rRNA". It matches the Rfam family "Bacterial small subunit ribosomal RNA", at positions 28 to 507 of the family's 1533-position model. The record is from RNAcentral.
GACGAACGCUGGCGGCGUGCCUAACACAUGCAAGUCGAGCGGAGUCGAUCGACGGAAGCCUUCGGGCGGAAGAUGGUUGACUUAGCGGCGGAUGGGUGAGUAACGCGUGGGCAACCUGCCUCGAAGACCGGGAUAACAGCCCGAAAGGGCUGCUAAUACCGGAUGUGGUCAAAGAUCCGCAUGGAUUUUUGAUUAAAGGGGAAACCCGUUUCGAGAUGGGCCCGCGUCCUAUCAGCUAGUUGGUGAGGUAAAAGCUCACCAAGGCGACGACGGGUAGCCGGCCUGAGAGGGUGACCGGCCACACUGGAACUGAGACACGGUCCAGACUCCUACGGGGGGCAGCAGUGGGGAAUCUUCCACAAUGGGCGAAAGCCUGAUGGAGCGACGCCGCGUGAGCGAAGAAGGCCUUGGGUUGUAAAGCUCUGUCUGGAGGGACGAAGGAAGUGACGGUACCUCCGGAGGAAGCCACGGCUAACUACGUG